Molecule: ribosomal RNA, 254 nt
Filed under: uncultured bacterium
Lineage: Bacteria
Description: partial 16S ribosomal RNA
Rfam family: Bacterial small subunit ribosomal RNA
Source: RNAcentral
UACGGGGGGAGCAAGCGUUGUUUGGAUUUACUGGGCGUAAAGGGCGCGUAGGCGGUCAGCACAAGUCAGUUGUGAAAUCUCCGGGCUUAACUCGGAAAGGUCAACUGAUACUGUGCGACUAGAGUGCAGAAGGGGCAACUGGAAUUCUCGGUGUAGCGGUGAAAUGCGUAGAUAUCGAGAGGAACACCUGCGGCGAAGGCGGGUUGCUGGGCUGACACUGACGCUGAUGCGCGAAAGCCAGGGGAGCGAACGGG